CGCACAUUGCGCCCUUUAGUAUUCUAGAGGGCAUGCCUGUUCGAGCGUCAUUAUCACCUCUCAAGCCUGGCUUGCUGUUGGACCGCACGCCGGUAAAAGGCGGGUCCCAAAGAUAAUGGCGGUGUCAAUUAGACCCUCGGUGCAACGAGCUUUCAUUAGCACGCAUCUGUAGUGGACUUUUGAUCCAGCCUGUUAUACCCCAUUUUUCAAGGUUGACCUCGGAUCAGGUAGGAAUACCCGCUGAACUUAA
This 250-nucleotide unclassified non-coding RNA is filed under the name Cladophialophora sp. Its description in RNAcentral is "partial contains 5.8S ribosomal RNA, internal transcribed spacer 2, and large subunit ribosomal RNA". The record is from RNAcentral. Lineage: Eukaryota; Fungi; Ascomycota; Eurotiomycetes; Chaetothyriales; Herpotrichiellaceae.